RNAcentral lists this long non-coding RNA (595 nucleotides) under Olea europaea (common olive). Its description in RNAcentral is "long non-coding RNA (OEUR_LNC012392)". The record is from RNAcentral. Lineage: Eukaryota; Viridiplantae; Streptophyta; Magnoliopsida; Lamiales; Oleaceae.
UCCUCUUUCACGUGCCUUUGACUGUAAGCUACUACAGUACUACCCAUAAAGAAAAACCAGAAAACAGUGACAAGAAACCUUGGGAGUAGCAAGCUACUACCCAUAAAGAAAAACCAGAAAACAGUGACAAGAAACCUCGGGAGCAGCAACAUAAUCAUCAAAAUCUUGUCAAAACUCAUUAACAUUCACCUGGCUAAUUUCCCUGUAAUACAUGCAUGCAAAAACAAUAAAAAAACAAAAAAAGAAUACCCCUACACUUAAAAAUUCUGAAUGCAUAUUGGAUGUAUUUAUACACGCAUUCUUGUGUUCUCACGUUAGAUAUUUUAAAACUAUUGGCAGAGAGAAGCAUCCUUAAUAUCUUCGUCGAAUCUUCUGAUUGUCUUCUGGUUCCCACAUGUACUCCUGGGACUUAAGUGGAGGAUCCCAAAUGCAAGCGAUAUUCGUAUGGGAGAAAUUGUUACCUAUGUAUACAAGUAUCCUUGUCACCACAUCCAUCAAUGCAUAAAUCUCUGGCCUGAAUUCCAUGAACAAGACCUACAUUUCAACACCACAAUCAUAAGGAUUUAAAAUCUCUCUUGUUAAGGGAUAAACUCCC